RNAcentral lists this non-coding RNA (30 nucleotides) under Rattus norvegicus (Norway rat). Lineage: Eukaryota; Metazoa; Chordata; Mammalia; Rodentia; Muridae. The record is from RNAcentral.
UGAGAGAAACCUCAGCAACCUUGAAAGCCU